AUGGGGGUGCAACAUGAAAAUAUAGUGCGGUUACUUGGCUAUUGUUAUGAAACACGAAAUAAAAUUGCCGAAUAUAAUGGAAAGCUUGUUUUUGCUGGCUAUGACGAAAGACUUCUCUGCUUAGAAUACUUACAGAGUGGAAGUCUUGAGGAUCAUAUUUCUGAUGAACCCUGCAGACUUGAUUGGAGCAUAUCUUACGUAAUAAUUAGAGGAAUAUGUGAAGGUUUAAAGUACCUUCAUACGGGAUCUGAACAUCCUAUUUACCAUCUAGAUUUGAAGCCUGCAAACAUAUUACUAGAUGGAGAUAAGAUACCAAAGAUUGGAGAUUUCAGUUUGUCCAGACUUCUUGUUUCAACACAAACAUGUGUCACAAAGACAUUUAUAGGAACACCUGGAUACAUGCCACCAGAAUACAUCGAUAGACAAGAAAUCACACCAAAAUUUGACGUAUUUAGCUUGGGUGUUAUAAUCCAAAAAAUAAUGGCUGGACAGAAGCUUCACUGCCAAUAUGCGCAUACGCCUCCUGAGAAAUUUAUUGACCUCGUGUGUGAAAACUGGGAGAAAAGACUCCAAGCAACAAUGUCCACGGAUAUAUCACUGGAAAUUAAGACAUGUAUCGAAACACCGUUAAAAUGCGUGGAGUCCGACCGGAAGAAAAGGCCGACUAUAACCCAAAUUGUGGAUGAAUUGGAUAAGAUCGAUAAUGCCAAAAGUUCACCUAUAGGCCAGGUCACUGGCGUGAGAAAAAAGCGGGAUUUCAACAAACUAUACGCAAGCUUGGAUUCCACCAUUGGUUUCAACGAUGACGAGCCAAUAAUUAUUGCUCCUCCAAAUUCAGUGCAGCUGGUGAUAAAGAACAGUAAAGAGGCGCCUCUCAAGGAGAACAACCAGAAGGUGAUGCUGGAGCUCACCGGCGGUGACUCCAGCGUUGACCGGCCGGGCCUGGACCUAGUGGUCGUACUAGACGUGAGUGGCAGCAUGUCGGGUGAGAAAAUCGACGAGAUGAAAGUCGCCAUGCAGUUUGUCGUUAGGAAGCUUUGCCCCAUCGACCGCCUCUCCAUCGUCACCUUCUCCAAUGAUGCCACUAGGCUGUGCCCACUGCGGCAGAUCACCCGGGACUCCCAGCGGGAUUUGCAGAAGAUCGUCAACGGCCUUAUCGCCCGCGGCGGCACAAACAUCAGUGCCGGCCUUCAGACUGGACUGAAGGUCCUCACCGACCGCAAGGUCAGCGACGGCCGGGUCGUGGGCGUCAUGCUCAUGUCUGACGGCCAUGAGAGCUCAGGCGACGCCCGCCAGGCCCCUGUCGGAAAUGUACCUGUCUACACUUUUGGUUUUGGCAAGGACAGUGACUCGCUGCUGCUCAGAGAAGUCACGGCCAAGAGCAUUGGAGGGACAUUCUCCUUUGCCCGCGACAUGGAUGGUCUGACCAUGGCCUUCUCCCACUGCCUCGCUGGGCUGCUUACUGUCGCGGCUGAAGAGCUCUAUCUGACGGUGUCAUGCGUCAGAGACGAGUGA
RNAcentral lists this ribosomal RNA (1515 nucleotides) under Triticum aestivum (bread wheat). Its description in RNAcentral is "partial small subunit ribosomal RNA". The record is from RNAcentral. Lineage: Eukaryota; Viridiplantae; Streptophyta; Magnoliopsida; Poales; Poaceae.